CAUGUCAAGCGUCCUGGUUUGUUGGACUGUGGAGUUAUUGAUUCCCUGUACCUUGUCUGUCUGUAGAUUUUUGGAUUUUGCUUGUCAACUGUUGGAUUGUGUUUCUUUUGAGCCUGCUUGUCUGCUCCCAGUCUGAAUUGUUUUACCUCUGUUGGACUACCUGAAAUCUGUGUGGUCUCUUUUGGAGCCUUUUUCUGGAUGCUGGACGGGUGGUUGCAGUGUUAACGGUAACAUUAACAUGACUGAUUCUUGCGGUGUCCAGGCUCCGAUCCCUGCUCUGCACCAGCCUGCCCACUCCUGUGUCUCACCUACAGACUCAGCUCUGUAUUUGGAACAUUUUAUCAUGUAAAUGUUGAGCCUCUCGCUGCCAAAACUACCUCUUUUUCCCCAACAAAGUGGAACAUAAACACUCGGCUCCAGCGGGGGUUUCCUGGCCCAUUGGUCCUGCACACUCCUCGGCAGUUUAAGUAUCCAGAGGAAUUUGCAUUGUCAAGACUGGCCGCCGCUGGCAAACAGUCAAGGUGCGUUAUGCAGCUGACAAAUAGUUGUUAAAGGCAGAAACAGCCUGCGGAUCGCCAGAAACUUGAGUAUUUCACCUUCGGCUGUGGAAAGGAUUAUAGAAGAUCUGGGUUUAAAAGAGAGGAGGCUUUUUACUAGUUCUCGUUCCUCUGCAGCAUCCUUCCUGUCCUCCAUCUCCUGUCUUUCUCAUUUUGCCUCCCCCCCCCUCGGUCCUCCUCUCAGUGUGUUGCCUAGUAAUGGGACGGUCUCAGUGGAUCGGUGACUCUGCGGAGAGAGCACGGCCUGCGGGAGAUAAACGAGAGGGAGCGACAGGUCUGUUCAUCGCUGUCUGUCUCAUCCCUAUACAUUUUAAAGCCGGACCUACUGCAACUCUGCCUUCUAGAAAAUAAAUUUAUAUAUUUGUUUUGCCAACAAUGUUUCAGCAGUGAGUCUGAACAGAACCAUAAAAGGUUGAAUGCUUCAGUUUCUACGAGCGGCUGUUGUUGCAAGAUCAGAUAUUUUUGGCUGAAUGAACAUUUAGUUAUUCACACAACUCAUGAAAAAUGAUGGCAAUCUGAUGAGUGGCUGGGCAAAUCUGAACAUUCGCUAGCCA
Long non-coding RNA from Siniperca chuatsi (mandarin fish), 1111 nucleotides. RefSeq lists it as uncharacterized. The transcript has 3 exons. NCBI's taxonomy places the organism in Eukaryota, Metazoa, Chordata, Actinopteri, Centrarchiformes, Sinipercidae. The record is from RefSeq and is a predicted model, not a curated record.